GAUGAACGCUAGCGGCAGGCCUAACACAUGCAAGUCGAGGGGUAGAAGGAGCUUGCUCCUUUGAGACCGGCGCACGGGUGCGUAACGCGUAUGCAAUCUACCUUGUACAGGGGAAUAGCCCAGAGAAAUUUGGAUUAAUGCCCCAUAGUAUAUAACCUUCGCAUGUUGGUUAUAUUAAAGUUCCAACGGUACAAGAUGAGCAUGCGUCCCAUUAGUUAGUUGGUAAGGUAACGGCUUACCAAGACGAUGAUGGGUAGGGGUCCUGAGAGGGAGAUCCCCCACACUGGUACUGAGACACGGACCAGACUCCUACGGGAGGCAGCAGUGAGGAAGAUUGGUCAAUGGUCGCAAGACUGAACCAGCCAUGCCGCGUGCAGGAAGACGGUCCUAUGGAUUGUAAACUGCUUUUAUACAGGAAGAAACCCUCCCACGUGUGGGAGCUUGACGGUACUGUAGGAAUAAGGAUCGGCUAACUCCGUG
RNAcentral lists this ribosomal RNA (480 nucleotides) under uncultured bacterium. RNAcentral describes it as "partial 16S ribosomal RNA". It matches the Rfam family "Bacterial small subunit ribosomal RNA", at positions 28 to 507 of the family's 1533-position model. The record is from RNAcentral.